GGCGGCGUAGCUCAGUGGUAGAGCGAGGGACUCAUAAACCCUAGGCCACAGGUUCAAUCCCUGUCGCCGCUA
Molecule: transfer RNA, 72 nt
Filed under: Parcubacteria group bacterium CG1_02_40_25
Lineage: Bacteria
Also listed under: 3 other names
Description: tRNA-Met
Rfam family: tRNA
About the family: Transfer RNA (tRNA) molecules are approximately 80 nucleotides in length. Their secondary structure includes four short double-helical elements and three loops (D, anti-codon, and T loops). Further hydrogen bonds mediate the characteristic L-shaped molecular structure. tRNAs have two regions of fundamental functional importance: the anti-codon, which is responsible for specific mRNA codon recognition, and the 3' end, to which the tRNAs corresponding amino acid is attached (by aminoacyl-tRNA synthetases). tRNAs cope with the degeneracy of the genetic code in two manners: having more than one tRNA (with a specific anti-codon) for a particular amino acid; and 'wobble' base-pairing, i.e. permitting non-standard base-pairing at the 3rd anti-codon position.
Source: RNAcentral